UCGGGAAUUUUGGGCAAUGGGCGAAAGCCUGACCCAGCAACGCCGCGUGAGGGAUGAGGUAUUUCGGUAUGUAAGCCUCGAAAGAAUGGGAAGAAUAAAUGACGGUACCAUUUAUAAGCUCCGGCUAACUACGUGCCAGCAGCCGCGGUAAUACGUAGGGAGCAAGCGUUGUUCGGAUUUACUGGGCGUAAAGGGCGCGUAGGCGGCGCGGUAAGUCACUUGUGAAAUCUCUGAGCUUAACUCAGAACGGCCAAGUGAUACUGCUGUGCUAGAGUGCGGAAGAGNCAACCGGAAUUCUUGGUGCAGCGGUGAAAUGCGUAGAUAUCAAGAGGAACACCUGAGGCGAAGGCGGGUUGCUGGGCCGACACUGACGCUGAUGCGCGAAAGCCAGGGGAGCAAACG
This 402-nucleotide ribosomal RNA is filed under the name uncultured bacterium. RNAcentral describes it as "bacterial SSU rRNA". It matches the Rfam family "Bacterial small subunit ribosomal RNA", at positions 355 to 774 of the family's 1533-position model. The record is from RNAcentral.